Molecule: ribosomal RNA, 73 nt
Filed under: Listeria monocytogenes
Lineage: Bacteria; Bacillati; Bacillota; Bacilli; Caryophanales; Listeriaceae
Description: partial 16S ribosomal RNA
Rfam family: Bacterial small subunit ribosomal RNA
Source: RNAcentral
UUUAAAGAGAGUUUGAUCCUGGCUCAGGACGAACGCUGGCGGCGUGCCUAAUACAUGCAAGUCGAACGAACAU